CCUACGGGAGGCAGCAGUGGGGAAUCUUGCGCAAUGGGCGAAAGCCUGACGCAGCCAUGCCGCGUGAAUGAUGAAGGUCUUAGGAUUGUAAAAUUCUUUCACCGGGGACGAUAAUGACGGUACCCGGAGAAGAAGCCCCGGCUAACUUCGUGCCAGCAGCCGCGGUAAUACGAAGGGGGCUAGCGUUGCUCGGAAUUACUGGGCGUAAAGGGAGCGUAGGCGGAUAGUUUAGUCAGAGGUGAAAGCCCAGGGCUCAACCUUGGAAUUGCCUUUGAUACUGGCUAUCUUGAGUAUGGGAGAGGUAUGCGGAACUCCGAGUGUAGAGGUGAAAUUCGUAGAUAUUCGGAAGAACACCAGUGGCGAAGGCGGCAUACUGGCCCAUUACUGACGCUGAGGCUCGAAAGCGUGGGGAGCAAACAGGAUUAGAUACCCUGGUAGUCCACGCUGUAAACGAUGAGUGCUAGUUGUCGGCAUGCAUGCAUGUCGGUGACGCAGCUACGCAUAAGACACUCCGCCGUCGGGAGGUACGGUCGCGAAGAAGUUAAACUACAAUAGAGUAGACGCGUGAGACGUGACGACGGACGACGACGAGGGAGGAGG
RNAcentral lists this ribosomal RNA (600 nucleotides) under uncultured bacterium. RNAcentral describes it as "bacterial SSU rRNA". The stretch from base 1 to 516 matches the Rfam family "Bacterial small subunit ribosomal RNA", at positions 338 to 873 of the family's 1533-position model. The record is from RNAcentral.